CCUACGAGAGGCUGCAGUGAGGAAUAUUGGUCAAUGGGCGCGAGCCUGAACCAGCCAAGUAGCGUGAAGGAUGACUGCCCUACGUGUUGUAAACUUCUUUUAUAAAGGAAUAAAGUGAGGCACGUGUGCCUUUUUGUAUGUACUUUAUGAAUAAGGAUCGGCUAACUCCGUGCCAGCAGCCGCGGUAAUAAGGCGGAUCCGAGCGUUAUCCGGAUUUAUUGGGUUUAAGGGGAGCGUAGAUGGGUUGUUACGUCAGUGGUGAAAGUUUGCGGUUCAACCGUAAAAUUGCAAUUGAUAAUGGCAGCCUUGAGUACAGUUGAGGUAGGCGGAAUGCGUGGUGUAGCGGUGAAAUGCUUAGAUAUCACGAAGAACUCCGAUUGCGAAGGCAGCCUACUAAACUGCCACUGACAUUGAUGCUCGAAAGUGUGGGUAUCAAACAGGAUUAGAUACCCUUGUAGUC
Molecule: ribosomal RNA, 460 nt
Filed under: uncultured bacterium
Lineage: Bacteria
Description: partial 16S ribosomal RNA
Rfam family: Bacterial small subunit ribosomal RNA
Source: RNAcentral